This is a long non-coding RNA of Ailuropoda melanoleuca (giant panda), 393 nucleotides long. RefSeq lists it as uncharacterized. Lineage: Eukaryota; Metazoa; Chordata; Mammalia; Carnivora; Ursidae. The record is from RefSeq and is a predicted model, not a curated record. The transcript is spliced from 3 exons.
ACAAGUUCACCCUCUGCCUCCCGCCCAUGAGAGGAAGCAGGAAAGAGGGUGAGGUGGGGGCCCCCAAACAUUCCACCUGGCCCAAGCCAUCUGCAUAACACACGUCACAGUUGUCCAUGGGACCUGUGCUGGGCUCUGACAGAUAAGGCCGGGAUUGCGUCUUCUUCCAUUUCAGAGAAGUUUAGACCAAGGCUCUGAGAAGUGAAAGGAGUUCCCCCAACUCACACAUCUGGUUUAGUCCCCUCCUGCUGCAGGUGUCUCCUUGCAUUCAGCCUUUGGUGGAGGCAGCGAGGCACGGGCCACCCCAUCCAUGGGAGCAGGCUGCCAGAAGGAAGCUUGAUUUCCCAACGGCUGGAAAAGGCCAUGGAGGCUGGGAGCUGGCUCCGCGCCUUG